Molecule: ribosomal RNA, 253 nt
Filed under: uncultured bacterium
Lineage: Bacteria
Description: partial 16S ribosomal RNA
Rfam family: Bacterial small subunit ribosomal RNA
Source: RNAcentral
UACGGAGGGGGCUAGCGUUGUUCGGAAUUACUGGGCGUAAAGCGCACGUAGGCGGCUUUGUAAGUUAGAGGUGAAAGCCCAGGGCUCAACCCUGGAAUUGCCUUUAAGACUGCAUCGCUUGAAUCCGGGAGAGGUGAGUGGAAUUCCGAGUGUAGAGGUGAAAUUCGUAGAUAUUCGGAAGAACACCAGUGGCGAAGGCGGCUCACUGGACCGGCAUUGACGCUGAGGUGCGAAAGCGUGGGGAGCAAACAGG